AUGGCCAGAAGCCGCUUAAGAGAUGACAGAUUAGAAGUCAUAGACAUGAGAUCCAGGCUUAGAUUGGCCUCAUCCCAGAGUCUGAGCUCCCCCUACUUUAUUGCACGCUCUCUAUUUGUCAAAGCCCAACAUCUCAAAUGUGAGUGUACUUCUGAGAGAGCAUUGGCGAUAAGGGUGAAGGGGAAGUCCUGUUGUCCUCUGAUGCCACGGUUUUCCCAUGACAUGGCCCAUGAUGGAGGGGAGUUGACUGGAAGCACAUCAAGUGUCCUGUGUCCUUAUCAACACUACACUACCCACCAAUCAGCACUGGGAUUUCUUCAACGUUUGUUACCGGGCUUCUUCAUGAACAAUGGUCUGAGGAGAUAUGUAAGCGAUGAUGGUAGACAUAUGUGAGCUGCCUGCAGGGAGCCAAAGAGCAAGCCGGAAGAUGCAACCUUAAUGUUUUCCAAAUGCAGUUUUCUUUCUGGAAAUACCAUGUCCACUUAGUGAUCAGGCAAAUGAAAUGAAUAAGAGAAAAAAGUGAUGCGGAGCUAAAGCUGCUCGGUGGGGAGCCAGAGCUGGAGAGGAGGAGGAAGUGAUGGUGAGAAACAGGGGGCCCUCAAGUCUGCAGUUGUACUGAGCAGGCUCGACUUGAAUACCAAGGGUUAAUUCGCCCUAAUAAAAUCAGCAUGAACGCUGCCA
RNAcentral lists this long non-coding RNA (681 nucleotides) under Sus scrofa (pig). RNAcentral's name for it is "lncRNA (ENSSSCG00050054887.1)". Lineage: Eukaryota; Metazoa; Chordata; Mammalia; Artiodactyla; Suidae. The record is from RNAcentral.